Molecule: transfer RNA, 86 nt
Filed under: Candidatus Poribacteria bacterium
Lineage: Bacteria; Candidatus Poribacteria
Description: tRNA-Leu
Rfam family: tRNA
About the family: Transfer RNA (tRNA) molecules are approximately 80 nucleotides in length. Their secondary structure includes four short double-helical elements and three loops (D, anti-codon, and T loops).
Source: RNAcentral
GGGCGGGUGGCGGAAUCUGGCAGACGCGCAUGACUUAGGAUCAUGUGCCAUUCGGCGUGCGGGUUCAAUUCCCGCCCCGCCCACCA